Molecule: ribosomal RNA, 482 nt
Filed under: uncultured bacterium
Lineage: Bacteria
Description: partial 16S ribosomal RNA
Rfam family: Bacterial small subunit ribosomal RNA
Source: RNAcentral
GAUGAACGCUAGCGGCAGGCCUAAUACAUGCAAGUCGGACGGGAUUCAGGAGCUUGCUUCUGAUGAGAGUGGCGCACGGGUGCGUAACACGUAUGUAACCUACCUUUAUCAGGGGGAUAGCCUCUCGAAAGAGAGAUUAAGCCCGCAUAAAAUCACAGCACAGCAUUGUGUAAUGAUCAAAUAUUUAUCGGAUAAAGAUGGGCAUGCGGAACAUUAGCUAGGUGGCGGGGUAACGGCCCACCAUGGCGACGAUGCUUAGGGGAUCUGAGAGGAUGGCCCCCCACACUGGUACUGGGACACGGACCAGACUCCUACGGCAGGCAGCAGUAAGGAAUAGUGGUCAAUGGGCGGAAGUCUGAACCAGCCAUGCCGCGUGCAGGAAGACGGCCCUACGGGUUGUAAACUGCUUUUAUACGGGAAUAAACCCAGAUACGUGUAUCUGGCUGAAUGUACUGGAAGAAUAAGGAUCGGCUAACUCCGUG